GACCAAAUAUUAAGGGCUUAUGGUGGAUGCCUUGACAUCAAGAGGCGAUGAAGGGCGUGGCGUGACUGCGAUAAGCUUCGGGGAGGUGUCUAGCAACCUUUGAUCCGGAGAUUUCCGAAUGGGGAAACCCAAUUGAGCAAACCUCAAUUAUCCCGCAGCAAUGCGAGGAGCGAACCCGCUGAAGUGAAACAUCUCAGUAAGCGGAGGAAAAGAAAAUAAUAUCAGCUUUGCUGAUUCAUUCCCUUAGUAGCGGCGAGCGAACGGGGAAGAGCCUAAACCAGUGCGAAGCACUGGAAUUUUGAAGCUUGAAUUUUGAAUUAUGAACGAAUUUUUAAUAAUUUAAUUUUUAAUUAAACAUUAAGAUAUUCUGAUUUGAAUCAAAAUUCGAAAUUAGAAAUUCGAAAUUCCGCUGCUUCGCAGUGGUGUUGCAAGGUAGUAACGUUCCGGAGCAUCUCACACCUUAUGAAUUUUCACGAGGUGUGGGAUUCAUUCCGGAGGGAGUCCACAAAAAUAAAGUUUACCCUGAGUUUAUCGAGGGGCAUUGUUAAUCAAAUCUCGCUGGAAAGCGGAACCAAAGAGGGUAAUAGUCCCGUAGGUGAAAACAGCUUUAUGCUCCUAGUUAUUAUUCUUAAGUACGGCGAGGCACGAAAACCUUGUCGGAAGCCGGCAGGACUACUCUGCCAAGGCUAAAUACUCUUGAUGAUCGAUAGUGAACUAGUACCGUGAGGGAAAGGUGAAAAAUAGCCCGGUAAGGGCGGUGAAAUAGAUCUGAAACCAUAAGCUUACAAAGACUCGGAGUCCUGUCGCUCUCGAGCGACGGGAUGACGGGGUGCUUUUUGCAGAACGAGCCAACGAGUCCGAGUGCAUAGCUUGUCUAAGUCCUAUGGGACGGAGGCGAAGCGAAAGCGAGUGUUAAAAGCGCGUCGGCGAUUUAUUCGUCGUGCUGUGCGCUCGGGACCCGAAGCCAGAGCGAGCUUACCAUGAGCAGGGUGAACCCCGCGUAAAAGUGGGGGGAGGCCCGCACCCGUUGGUCGUACCACGCCAUGGGA
This 1049-nucleotide ribosomal RNA is filed under the name Candidatus Portnoybacteria bacterium CG_4_9_14_3_um_filter_44_9. RNAcentral's name for it is "bacterial LSU rRNA". It matches the Rfam family "Bacterial large subunit ribosomal RNA", at positions 1 to 804 of the family's 2925-position model. Lineage: Bacteria; Candidatus Portnoyibacteriota. The record is from RNAcentral.